This 114-nucleotide ribosomal RNA is filed under the name Lepisosteus oculatus (spotted gar). The record is from RNAcentral. Lineage: Eukaryota; Metazoa; Chordata; Actinopteri; Semionotiformes; Lepisosteidae.
GCCAGCAGCCAUAUCACCCUGUGACUCACAACUGGCAACCCACUAAGCAGGUGUGAGCCUGGUCAGUACCUGGAUGGGAGACCUCCUGGGAAAAACUAAUGUUUGCUGCUGGAA